AAGAAAAGGGAGAUGUCGUAAUGGCAUAUCCUUUGGAAGAUGCUCAAACUAGUUAGCCCCCUUCAAUUGCCACAAUAGAAAAGAAGCCCUAUAUCAACUCAUACAAAGCUUCAAUAUCAAACCCUCUUAAUAAUUCAGCACCAUCAAGGCCACCCUUGCCAAUGGCUUCAAUUAGACAAGGGUGGCCAAUGGUACGUAGCUCUUUCUUUUAUAGGGCUAUUUUAUUUUCGUAAAAGAUGUUCUGAAACUUGAAGUUAUCCAUCGCUUUUCCUUUUAAAGACGAUCUUCUCUUAAUAGGGCAACUUCGAUCCUUUGGCAUUUGGCUUCCUCGCCUGGCAUCUCUCUUCACUUCAUUACACACACACACACACACACAUAUAUAUAUAUAUGAUUUGUGAGGCUCGAGGACAACUCAUAUUAUAUGUUAUAUUUCCAAGUUUUUUCUUGUUUAUCUUUAUAAUUUGGUGGUUUGUUUAGUGACCUUUGUAUUUGUAAGCCAGUGGCCAAAGUUUCAGUGUGCUACAGCCUUCUUGUAGUAGCUUAUCUUUGUAUUUGAUCUUCCUACUAAUAUUAAUUUUAUGUCGUAGUUAAAAUUAUUGGAGUUCUUCAAAAGGUGAAAUUGGUUAAAUUUUGUUAUUAAUUUGUAUAUGAUG
RNAcentral lists this long non-coding RNA (653 nucleotides) under Gossypium raimondii (Peruvian cotton). Its description in RNAcentral is "long non-coding RNA (GRAI_LNC001710)". The record is from RNAcentral. Lineage: Eukaryota; Viridiplantae; Streptophyta; Magnoliopsida; Malvales; Malvaceae.